Molecule: ribosomal RNA, 500 nt
Filed under: uncultured bacterium
Lineage: Bacteria
Description: bacterial SSU rRNA
Rfam family: Bacterial small subunit ribosomal RNA
Source: RNAcentral
CAGGAUGAACGCUAGCGACAGGCUUAACACAUGCAAGUCGAGGGCAGCAUAGAAGUAGCAAUACUUGGUGGCGACCGGCGCGACGGGUGAGUAACGCGUAUGCAACCUACCUAUCAGAGGGGAAUAACCGGCGAAAGUCGGACUAAUACCGCAUAAAACAGGGGCACCGCAUGGUGAUAUUUGUUAAAGAAAUUCGCUGAUAGAUGGGCAUGCGUUCCAUUAGGUAGUUGGUGAGGUAACGGCUCACCAAGCCGACGAUGGAUAGGGGAACUGAGAGGUUGGUCCCCCACACUGGUACUGAGACACGGACCAGACUCCUACGGGAGGCAGCAGUGAGGAAUAUUGGUCAAUGGGCGGGAGCCUGAACCAGCCAAGUCGCCGUGAAGGAAGAAGGAUCUAUGGUUCGUAAACUUCUUUUGCAGGGGAAUAAAGUGCAGGACGUGUCCUGUUUUGUAUGUACCCUGAGAAUAAGGAUCGGCUAACUCCGUGCCAGCCGCCGC